CGUAGUUUGAUCAGUGGCUACAGAACGACGCUGGCGGCAUGCCUAACACAUGCAAGUCGAACGAAGGCUUCGGCCUUAGUGGCGCACGGGUGCGUAACGCGUGGGAACCUGCCCCUCGGUUCGGAAUAACAGUUAGAAAUGACUGCUAAUACCGGAUGAUGACUUCGGUCCAAAGAUUUAUCGCCGAGGGAUGGGCCCGCGUAGGAUUAGCUAGUUGGUGGGGUAAAGGCCUACCAAGGCGACGAUCCUUAGCUGGUCUGAGAGGAUGAUCAGCCACACUGGGACUGAGACACGGCCCAGACUCCUACGGGAGGCAGCAGUGGGGAAUAUUGGACAAUGGGCGAAAGCCUGAUCCAGCAAUGCCGCGUGAGUGAUGAAGGCCUUAGGGUUGUAAAGCUCUUUUACCAGGGAUGAUAAUGACAGUACCUGGAGAAUAAGCUCCGGCUAACUCCGUG
RNAcentral lists this ribosomal RNA (455 nucleotides) under uncultured bacterium. RNAcentral's name for it is "bacterial SSU rRNA". It matches the Rfam family "Bacterial small subunit ribosomal RNA", at positions 9 to 507 of the family's 1533-position model. The record is from RNAcentral.